UGACCCAUGGUGUAAUUGGCAACACGUCUGAUUUUGGUUCAGAAGAGUCCAGGUUCGAGCCCUGGUGGGUCAACAA
RNAcentral lists this transfer RNA (76 nucleotides) under Prolixibacteraceae bacterium JC049. RNAcentral's name for it is "tRNA-Gln". It matches the Rfam family "tRNA". From Rfam's summary of the family: Transfer RNA (tRNA) molecules are approximately 80 nucleotides in length. Their secondary structure includes four short double-helical elements and three loops (D, anti-codon, and T loops). Further hydrogen bonds mediate the characteristic L-shaped molecular structure. tRNAs have two regions of fundamental functional importance: the anti-codon, which is responsible for specific mRNA codon recognition, and the 3' end, to which the tRNAs corresponding amino acid is attached (by aminoacyl-tRNA synthetases). tRNAs cope with the degeneracy of the genetic code in two manners: having more than one tRNA (with a specific anti-codon) for a particular amino acid; and 'wobble' base-pairing, i.e. permitting non-standard base-pairing at the 3rd anti-codon position. The record is from RNAcentral. Lineage: Bacteria; Pseudomonadati; Bacteroidota; Bacteroidia; Marinilabiliales; Prolixibacteraceae.